AAUCAACUGAUGAGAAUAUAACUGCAACAAUAUGAUGGAUUCUUUCCAUGAUUCUUAGUACUUAAGUCUCUGAUGAUU
Cannabis sativa is the source of this 78-nucleotide small nucleolar RNA. RefSeq annotates it as small nucleolar RNA Z199. The transcript has a single exon. NCBI's taxonomy places the organism in Eukaryota, Viridiplantae, Streptophyta, Magnoliopsida, Rosales, Cannabaceae. The record is from RefSeq and is a predicted model, not a curated record.